This 484-nucleotide ribosomal RNA is filed under the name uncultured bacterium. Its description in RNAcentral is "partial 16S ribosomal RNA". It matches the Rfam family "Bacterial small subunit ribosomal RNA", at positions 30 to 507 of the family's 1533-position model. The record is from RNAcentral.
AUUGAACGCUGGCGGCAGGCCUAACACAUGCAAGUCGAGCGGAUGAAGGUAGCUUGCUCCUGGAUUCAGCGGCGGACGGGUGAGUAAUGCCUAGGAAUCUGCCUGGUAGUGGGGGAUAACGUCCGGAAACGGGCGCUAAUACCGCAUACGUCCUGAGGGAGAAAGUGGGGGAUCUUCGGACCUCACGCUAUCAGAUGAGCCUAGGUCGGAUUAGCUAGUUGGUGGGGUAAAGGCCUACCAAGGCGACGAUCCGUAACUGGUCUGAGAGGAUGAUCAGUCACACUGGAACUGAGACAGGGUCCAGACUCCUACGGGAGGCAGCAGCGGGGAAUAUUGGACGAUGGGCGAAAGCCUGAUCCAGCCAUGCCGCGUGUGUGAAGAAGGUCUUCGGAUUGUAAAGCACUUUAAGUUGGGAGGAAGGGCAGUAAGUUAAUACCUUGCUGUUUUGACGUUACCAACAGAAUAAGCACCGGCUAACUUCGUG